RNAcentral lists this ribosomal RNA (423 nucleotides) under uncultured bacterium. RNAcentral describes it as "bacterial SSU rRNA". It matches the Rfam family "Bacterial small subunit ribosomal RNA", at positions 355 to 775 of the family's 1533-position model. The record is from RNAcentral.
UAGGGAAUAUUGGGCAAUGGAGGCAACUCUGACCCAGCCAUGCCGCGUGCAGGAUGAAGGCGCUCAGCGUCGUAAACUGCUUUUAUCUGGGAAGAACUGUGAGGAUGCGUCCUUACUUGACGGUACCAGAGGAAUAAGCACCGGCUAACUCCGUGCCAGCAGCCGCGGUAAUACGGAGGGUGCAAGCGUUGUCCGGAUUUAUUGGGUUUAAAGGGUGCGCAGGUGGGUAUUUAAGUCUGGUUUGAAAGCAGGUGGCUCAACCAUCUGAUGUGGCUGGAAACUGGAUAUCUUGAAUGGGUUGGCGGUAGCCGGAAUGGGUCAUGUAGCGGUGAAAUGCAUAGAUAUGACCCGGAACACCGAUUGCGAAGGCAGGCUACUACGACUUGAUUGACACUGAGGCACGAGAGCAUGGGUAGCGAACAG